UACUUCAUUCAAAUGCCCACUGGUUCUCCCGACGAACCUCUUCCUCCUCCUCAGGGGUGAAAUCAUUCUUGAUGUUAUAUAUCUUCCGGAUCUCCUCAGGGGUUUUUCCCUUGAUCACGUCUGCAACAGUCUGGCAUGUCAGGUCCAGCAGGCCCUUGAUGUUCAAAUAGUUGGCAGCCAGAAUGAGAUCGAAAAGCGUGCCCUGAUCAACUUUCACGAACUCGGCGUCCCAGUUCUUGAGCUCCUCAUCGGCGGCGCUGCUGCGAUCAUCAGACUUGGGAGUCUCGACGUGCUUCUUGCAGUACUCGAUCACUUUGGCCAGGAUCUUGCUCGUCACAUUAGGCAGCGGGAUACCAUUAUCAGCACAAUCGUCCUCGAUCAUGUGUUUGAUCGUUUGAGACUCGAGAGCCACCGCCUCGUCCACCUCAAAGGGCUCACCGUCGCUGCUUUUCAAAGUGAUCUUCUUCGACGACGACAUCGUUUCGAUCGAAAACAAACAGAAAAAAAUGACAAAACCGUACCCUAGAGCAGUUCCGCCCGGCGCUUUUUCACUCAAUUUAUUUACAAACAAACGAACGAUAAACGAUAGAUUGAACCGAAGAGGCGUCCCCCUUCAAUUUAUGGAGUUUGUGAGAAAUAAUUUGGUUGAUCCCAUGGGCCAAGGUGUAUCAGCAAAAAUACUUCAGCGUUUACGUGUCAAUUGGGUAAUACAAUUGCUAGGGAAAUCAGGCUUUGGCGUUGGCAGGUAGUAGUAGUCAUGACUAGGCGUAGAACCGACUCAGGGCUGCGAUGAAAGGAACCUUG
RNAcentral lists this unclassified non-coding RNA (804 nucleotides) under Hevea brasiliensis (rubber tree). Lineage: Eukaryota; Viridiplantae; Streptophyta; Magnoliopsida; Malpighiales; Euphorbiaceae. The record is from RNAcentral.